GCUCUAAAGCUACACUUGAGUCUCAACAGUGAGGACACAGUUGGAUUUAAGUUUAGGGGAGUAUUCUACCAUCCUUACUUUAUUUCUCAGUUAUUUUAUUUUUAGUACAAUUUCCCUUUUAGCAAAUAAAAUAAAAGCACUAUUUUUGGGUAAAUUUUAAAUUUUUCCUUUUCUUGAGCCAAAUUAAAAUUUUUUUCAAAGACUUUGGAUAAUAGCUCACUUAGAAAGUAUAUAGGUUAAGAAAAGACGAGAGGCUAAGUUAAGGAAAUUAGGGAAUUUUACAACAAAAUCGAUAUUUUUCCAACACCCAGAAGUCUCCCUAGUAUAGAUAUCAAUUUGAAUAACCAUUGUGCCAAAAUCUCUUGAUUUAAAUUUGUGGAAUCCUUUAGUAGUUUAUCUAUCCAGUCGGACACCAUCUAUAAAGUCACACAUUAAGUAAGUUUGUCGAUGAAUAUAAGCGAAUCAUCUAAGCAAAUUUUUAAGGUCAUACUGUGGUAAUACGGUUAAACCUUAAAAAAAAAUAUAUAAGGUCAUACUGUGGUAAUACGGUUAAACCUUAGAAAAAAAAAAUAUAUUUAUAUGAUUGCUAAUACAAAAAUUUGUAUCAUCAAGCUAUU
Molecule: long non-coding RNA, 617 nt
Filed under: Trifolium pratense (red clover)
Lineage: Eukaryota; Viridiplantae; Streptophyta; Magnoliopsida; Fabales; Fabaceae
Description: long non-coding RNA (TPRA_LNC010077)
Source: RNAcentral